Molecule: transfer RNA, 73 nt
Filed under: Punica granatum (pomegranate)
Lineage: Eukaryota; Viridiplantae; Streptophyta; Magnoliopsida; Myrtales; Lythraceae
Rfam family: tRNA
About the family: Transfer RNA (tRNA) molecules are approximately 80 nucleotides in length.
Source: Rfam by way of RNAcentral
GGGCAUUUGGUCUAGUGGUAUGAUUCUUGCUUUGGGUGCAAGAGGGUCCCGAGUUCGAUUCCCGGAAUGCCCC